RNAcentral lists this ribosomal RNA (892 nucleotides) under Escherichia coli. Its description in RNAcentral is "partial 23S ribosomal RNA". It matches the Rfam family "Bacterial large subunit ribosomal RNA", at positions 55 to 987 of the family's 2925-position model. RNAcentral also lists the same sequence under 1 other name. The record is from RNAcentral. Lineage: Bacteria; Pseudomonadati; Pseudomonadota; Gammaproteobacteria; Enterobacterales; Enterobacteriaceae.
GACGUGCUAAUCUGCGAUAAGCGUCGGUAAGGUGAUAUGAACCGUUAUAACCGGCGAUUUCCGAAUGGGGAAACCCAGUGUGAUUCGUCACACUAUCAUUAACUGAAUCCAUAGGUUAAUGAGGCGAACCGGGGGAACUGAAACAUCUAAGUACCCCGAGGAAAAGAAAUCAACCGAGAUUCCCCCAGUAGCGGCGAGCGAACGGGGAGCAGCCCAGAGCCUGAAUCAGUGUGUGUGUUAGUGGAAGCGUCUGGAAAGGCGUGCGAUACAGGGUGACAGCCCCGUACACAAAAAUGCACAUACUGUGAGCUCGAUGAGUAGGGCGGGACACGUGGUAUCCUGUCUGAAUAUGGGGGGACCAUCCUCCAAGGCUAAAUACUCCUGACUGACCGAUAGUGAACCAGUACCGUGAGGGAAAGGCGAAAAGAACCCCGGCGAGGGGAGUGAAAAAGAACCUGAAACCGUGUACGUACAAGCAGUGGGAGCACGCUUAGGCGUGUGACUGCGUACCUUUUGUAUAAUGGGUCAGCGACUUAUAUUCUGUAGCAAGGUUAACCGAAUAGGGGAGCCGAAGGGAAACCGAGUCUUAACUGGGCGUUAAGUUGCAGGGUAUAGACCCGAAACCCGGUGAUCUAGCCAUGGGCAGGUUGAAGGUUGGGUAACACUAACUGGAGGACCGAACCGACUAAUGUUGAAAAAUUAGCGGAUGACUUGUGGCUGGGGGUGAAAGGCCAAUCAAACCGGGAGAUAGCUGGUUCUCCCCGAAAGCUAUUUAGGUAGCGCCUCGUGAAUUCAUCUCCGGGGGUAGAGCACUGUUUCGGCAAGGGGGUCAUCCCGACUUACCAACCCGAUGCAAACUGCGAAUACCGGAGAAUGUUAUCACGGGAGACAC